CAGACCUGCUAGCUGAGGGAGAUGGGGUCCUCCUGGAAAACUGAGGCUGGGUUUGAUAUCAAUGCACCAGGGAGAAAUGGCCUACAGAUCUGGGUGUUUCUACAUCCCAGGACGGCUCGUUCUCUCAAGGAAAAUUUCCUGGGAGCUGAUACUCACCGGGCACACUGAGGACACAGGUGAAUCUCUCCAUCUGGGUCUCUCCCAUCAGAGAGUCCCCCGUCUGGUCACGAGAAGAAAGGGGCACACAAAGCAAACAAUCAUGGUAACGGUCAUGGCUGGUGGAGUGCUUGCCAUGGACAGGACGCUUCGCUGCAGUUCCACAUUUGUUAGCACCGGUCGCCCCAGCGGUAGUGAUCAUCACGAGCGAUUACAACCCUCCCUAUUUCUCAUCUGAGGACACUGAGAUCCCGGGCAGAAACAAGCCACGAGAGCCCUCCACGUUUCUAGGUCUGUCACCCAGAAGCUCAUUGAAAGGCAAGCCACGCAGCUUGAUGACAACCCAGGAGUGUGCGCGUGGCUGAGAAGUGGCAGGAUCGUGCAGAGGAAUCCGCUCAGCCACCGAGGGAAAUGAGCCGGAUCUAUAUCCGUCCACACAAACAGAUCUCCAGAAAUACAUCACUGGGGCAAAUAGAAGUGGGCUGAUAACGGUUCCUCACAGUAGGAUAUAGGAGACCGCGUAUGUAAAUAUGUAAAUGUUUAAUCACGAAAACAGUAAUACAUAGUUUGGGGGAGAUGGGCGUAAUUUUAAGUGGAUGGGAAGGAAGAACAUGAAAUUCAUAAUAACGGCCACUUCUGUGGAAAAGGAAACGGACCAGGAUAGGAAUAGAGCUGGGGGGCGGGGAGGCGCGCAGCUGUAGAUUUAUCUGUACGGUCCUUGAAGUUUUUAAAGUGUCCUCGUGCAUUACUUGCAGAAUGGUUCAACUAUGUACAUGGAAAAAAUAACUGAAGGAAAUAUGAAAAAGCAUAAGUAGGUAAUUCUGGAUGGUAGGAAAUUGAGGCGAUUGUUUUUAUUUUUUUCAAAUUUCAAACAAAAAAAAAAUACUGUGUAAAAAAGCCUGGCUUCAGAUCCCACCUCUGUUGAGAUCAUAAGAAGCUAUGAAGCUCUUGGGUGCCUCCUUUCCCCCUGUGCCUCAGCUUCCCCCCCGGUGACCGCAGGCAUCGGGUCAGACAGGCAGUCCGGCUGCUCUGGUUCUCAGCACUGUGAGCUCGCGCAGGGGCGGCCCAGAUCCCUCCCUAACCAGGUGGUGUUUCCCAGCCGGACGGAAAAUAGACCAGAUGUUUCAUGCAGAAAAAUGUAUGGAUUGUGCACAGACGAGGCAAGAAAGGAAAGAAGACAGACAGAAGAAGAAGCAAGCAAUUGAAGAUCCAUGCUGAGAAGCAGCCGCAGAACCUUGCUGAGACAGG
Molecule: long non-coding RNA, 1404 nt
Filed under: Felis catus (domestic cat)
Lineage: Eukaryota; Metazoa; Chordata; Mammalia; Carnivora; Felidae
Description: lncRNA (ENSFCAG00000041425.2)
Source: RNAcentral